UUUUAGGAGUUCUUAAUGCUAUUUUCUUUCUGAUCAAUUGAAAAUUGAUUUCAGACUUUCUCCACCUAACAAGUGCUUGAUAAAAUGUCUGAACCAACUAAUUUCAGAGAUUUGUAGAUUCUAGCCCAAGACCUUGGAUGUUUAGACUGCUUAUUGACUUUAAUAGAUUGGGGUUUAAAGCCUGCUUUGUUAAGUUUCAUCAAUGAAAAUUGAGAUUAGGAAGUGAUAAAGUUAUGAGAGUCAUUGUCACGAAAGUGGAUUGAUUUGUUUUUGAAUCUAUUGUCUAGGGAUAGCUUGAUUGAGUUUGUUACUUAGCUAAUGGAUUGAGGAGUCCACUAAGACCAAUUACCCCAUUCUUAAGAGCUCUGUUUCGUUUUAUUGUGCAAAACUCGUGUUUUUAGUACUAUGUUCGUCUCGUGCAAAAUUGGUGUUCUUAAUAUUGUACUCGACCUGUUUAGUUGUUUGCUCGACCGAGUGCUUGACUUAGUGCUUGAUUUACUUUCUGCUCUUGCUAUUUGAGUUCUUUAUUUUCUGCUUAGUAUAGUUCUGUUUCUGAAUUUGAUUUGCAUGUUAACCGAUUGCUUAGGUUUAGUAAAAACACACCAAACCU
Molecule: small RNA, 610 nt
Filed under: Arabidopsis thaliana (thale cress)
Lineage: Eukaryota; Viridiplantae; Streptophyta; Magnoliopsida; Brassicales; Brassicaceae
Description: ATSL087280
Source: RNAcentral